RNAcentral lists this ribosomal RNA (245 nucleotides) under uncultured bacterium. RNAcentral's name for it is "partial small subunit ribosomal RNA". It matches the Rfam family "Bacterial small subunit ribosomal RNA", at positions 26 to 285 of the family's 1533-position model. The record is from RNAcentral.
AGAAUCAACGCUGGCGGCGUGCCUAACACAUGCAAGUCGCACGAGAAAGGGACUUCGGUCCUGAGUACAGUGGCGCACGGGUGAGUAACACGUGAAUCAUCUACCUCCGAGUGGGGAAUAACUGAGAGAAAUCUUAGCUAAUACCGCAUAACACUUACGAGUCAAAGCAGCAAUGCGCUUGGAGAGGAGUUCGCGGCAGAUUAGUUAGUUGACGGGGUAAUGGCCCACCAAGACGAUGAUCUGUA